UAAACUACGAUUAGAUACCCUAUUAUUUUGAAUGUGAAGUGUAAAUAUUGGAGUAGUAUAAGCUAUGUUCUUGAAACUCAAAGAAUUUGGCGGUGUUUUAGUCCUUUCAGAGGAACCUGUCCCGUAAUCGAUAUUCCACGUUAUACCUUUCUUAAUUUGGUUAUUUCAGUUUGUAUAUCGCCGUCGUCAGAAUGUCCUAUAAGGGAUUAAAUUUUCUUUAUUUGUAAAAUUAAGAGAUGUCAGGUCAAGGUGCAGUUUAUAGUUAAGAGGAGAUGGGUUACAAUAAAUUUAUUUAUACGGAUAGUUAUUUGAAAUUAAUAGUUUGAAGGUGGAUUUGAAUGUAAUUAUAUGUUAGAGGAAUAUAUUGAUUUUGGCUCUAAAACAUGCACACAUCGCCCGUCGCUCUUA
RNAcentral lists this ribosomal RNA (408 nucleotides) under Cosumnoperla hypocrena. RNAcentral's name for it is "partial 12S ribosomal RNA". The stretch from base 50 to 408 matches the Rfam family "Microsporidia small subunit ribosomal RNA", at positions 751 to 1207 of the family's 1311-position model. The record is from RNAcentral. Lineage: Eukaryota; Metazoa; Arthropoda; Insecta; Plecoptera; Perlodidae.